This 1459-nucleotide long non-coding RNA is filed under the name Oryctolagus cuniculus (rabbit). RNAcentral describes it as "lncRNA (ENSOCUG00000034781.1)". The record is from RNAcentral. Lineage: Eukaryota; Metazoa; Chordata; Mammalia; Lagomorpha; Leporidae.
AUGGAAGAUUGCUGUCUCUCCCUUUCAAAUAAAACAUGUUUUAAAUAUACCCAGAACAGAAUAAGUCCCUGGUGCCUGGCUCUGCCCCCAGACAUUCUUGGAUCUCAGGCAAUCCCAGCAUGCAGAGCAGAGUGUGGGAGGCAUCGAGACACGCCAAGGUUCUCAGGCAGAGCUGCACGUGAGAAGCACCUGGGGAACUUAAGAGAGGAAUUCAGACACCGGAUCUCCAAAAUUCAGACUCGCCCGGGCCAGUCCCCACAUGUCCCACAGGGUUCCAGUGAAUCUGGUGAGCCCUUGGGUUGCAAACCUGUCAUCCAGGAUUCUGGAUUCCUGGAGGUGUCUGGACAUGGGCCUCUAAGACAAGGCUUUCCUGUCAUCAAUGUCCUCAAGUCUGACUGUGAGAGUCCCCUAAGUUCCCUCGAGGCCAUUAGGGAUGCUUGCAGGCACGGUCAGCUUUGAGGGGAGGUGGGCUACAAGGUUCUUCUUUUCUACAUUAAAAAAAAAUGCAUUUACUUAUUUGAGAGGCAGAAAGAGAGCGAGAUCUCAUAUGCCGGUCAGUUCCCACAACCCCUGACUGGAGCUGAAGUUAGGAGCUGGGGACUCCAUCCUGGUCUCCCAAGUGGGUUAAAGAACUUGUACCUUUUCCCUCCCCGCCACUUGCUCUCUUUUGUUGAGAUCCUCAGUGCCUAACCAGACCUUUCUCAACUCCUUGCAAUGCAAAUGGCAAAACAGAUAAGCUGCACAGGGCAGCUAAGAAACAGAUAAGAGGGAAAUUCCCUGAGACUUCAAAGAGCACCCCCCCCACCUACUCUUCCACCAGCUAUAGUCUACACCUCCCCUCUCCCGACAAAUUCCCCCCUCCUAACCAGGAUAAAAACCUGAGUCCCAAAUGCACCCUGCUGCAUGCAGUCUCUCUGCUUCAACAAACCAAUCUGCCUCUGUUGAAGUCCGUCUCUGUCUCCUUUUCCCAUCUCUCCUUUCUGGGGGUACGGAAGACCAGAACCCCGAGAUAUUCCAAACCUAACACGGGUGGUACAGACAUAGCUAGUUGAGCCAGCACCAUUGUCCCCCUCGGGGUCUGCAUUUACAGGAAGCUGGAUUCAGGAGCCAGAGCGGGCAUCAAACCCAGGGCCUCUGAUUCAGGACCCAGGUAUCCUCACUGUGAGGCCAAGCACCCUUCCCCUAGGAGCUGCUUUCUGCCCUCUUUCCAGGCUGACACAGGGUGGCCCCUGCUCCUAAGGCUCCAUCUGCAGGGGGCCACGGGAAGGCUUGGGAACUCCUCCUUUGCCUGCUGGGGAAGCCAGGAGGAAUGUGAACUUGCUUUCUGUUUCCUCACCAAGGUCAUGCCCAAGGGCUCUGGGAGGAAUUUUAAUUAGUCCAGAGAGUAACUAGGCAUUACCUCCACCUUCUUAGGAUACCAGGCCAGGAGGGUUCCACGGACCAUUCUCUGGCUUCUCAC